AUGGCUUCCUGGUGGCAGGGAAUGGGGGCCUCUGUGCGCCGGAAAUCUCUACAGCACCAGGAGCAGCUGGAGGGCAGCAAGGAGCUGCAGCCUUUGGCCAGCCAUCAGGAGACCUCUGCCGGGGCCCUGAGUUCCCUAAGCAGACAGCUCCAAAGGAGGCUGCCCCUGAGAGCUGUCAACCUCAGCCUCCAGGCAGGCCCCUCCUGGAAACGCCUGGAAACACCAGAGCCAGAGCCACAGGGCCUCCAGGCUGCAGCUCCCUCAGCUAAGAGUGCCUUGGGUGCCAAGUCCCAGAGAAUCCAGGAGUCCUACCAAAGCGGCACCAAAUGGCUGGUGGAGACCCAGGUGAAGGCCAGGAGGAGGAAGAGAGGGGCACAGAGGGCAGUGGAUCACCAACUCACAGCCUGAGCCAUGAGAGCACCCGGCUGUCUGGAGCCGCCCCUGCCCACUCAGCCGCAGACCCCUGGGAGAAGGAGCAUCACCGCCUCUCUGCCCCAUAGGCUCACCUGCCCACCCAGUAAGGUUGUCGAGGCGGGAGGCUGCCUUCCGGAGCCCCUACUCCUCAACAGAGCCCCUCUGCUCUCCCAGUGAGUCUGACAGUGACCGAGGGACGUCGGGGGCGGGAACUCAGCAUCUCCAGAAGCUCUCCCAAGAGCUGGACGAAGCUAUUAUGGCGGAAGAGAGUGAUGACAUGACCGUCUCUCUCAUUCACCACGGAGGAAGUGCCCUGCAGUUCUGUUCUGCAGGAAACAAGACCUGUCUGACCACCGAGGCUUCAUACCCAAGGAUGUCUGUGCUUCCA
RNAcentral lists this long non-coding RNA (802 nucleotides) under Homo sapiens (human). RNAcentral's name for it is "non-protein coding lnc-PPA2-7:1". The record is from RNAcentral. Lineage: Eukaryota; Metazoa; Chordata; Mammalia; Primates; Hominidae.